UACGUAGGGACCAAGCGUUGUUCGGAUUUACUGGGCGUAAAGGGCGCGUAGGCGGCAAUUCAAGUCAGCUGUGAAAUCUCCGGGCUUAACUCGGAACGGUCAGCUGAUACUGCUUUGCUAGAGUGCAGAAGGGGCAAUCGGAAUUCUUGGUGUAGCGGUGAAAUGCGUAGAUAUCGAGAGGAACACCUGCGGCGAAGGCGGGUUGCUGGGCCGACACUGACGCUGAUGCGCGAAAGCCAGGGGAGCGAACGGG
Molecule: ribosomal RNA, 253 nt
Filed under: uncultured bacterium
Lineage: Bacteria
Description: partial 16S ribosomal RNA
Rfam family: Bacterial small subunit ribosomal RNA
Source: RNAcentral